This 450-nucleotide ribosomal RNA is filed under the name uncultured bacterium. RNAcentral describes it as "partial 16S ribosomal RNA". It matches the Rfam family "Bacterial small subunit ribosomal RNA", at positions 354 to 796 of the family's 1533-position model. The record is from RNAcentral.
GUGGGGAAUUUUGGACAAUGGGCGCAAGCCUGAUCCAGCAAUGCCGCGUGCAGGAAGAAGGCCUUCGGGUUGUAAACUGCUUUUGUACGGAACGAAACGGUCCUGGUUAAUACCUGGGGCUAAUGACGGUACCGUAAGAAUAAGCACCGGCUAACUACGUGCCAGCAGCCGCGGUAAUACGUAGGGUGCAAGCAUUAAUCGGAAUUACUGGGCGUAAAGCGUGCGCAGGCGGUUUUGUAAGACAGGCGUGAAAUCCCCGGGCUCAACCUGGGAAUUGCGCUUGUGACUGCAAGGCUGGAGUGCGGCAGAGGGGGAUGGAAUUCCGCGUGUAGCAGUGAAAUGCGUAGAUAUGCGGAGGAACACCGAUGGCGAAGGCAAUCCCCUGGGCCUGCACUGACGCUCAUGCACGAAAGCGUGGGGAGCAAACAGGAUUAGAUACCCGGGUAGUCC